GGGGGUGUAGCUCAGUGGUAGAGCACUUGUCUAGUACAUGUGAGGCACUGGGUUCUAUCCUCAGCACCACAU
Molecule: non-coding RNA, 72 nt
Organism: Ictidomys tridecemlineatus (thirteen-lined ground squirrel)
Lineage: Eukaryota; Metazoa; Chordata; Mammalia; Rodentia; Sciuridae
Source: Rfam